UGGGGAAUCUUGCGCAAUGGGCGAAAGCCUGACGCAGCGACGCCGCGUGAGUGAUGAAGGCCUUCGGGUUGUAAAGCUCUGUGGGGAGAGAAGAAUAAGUGCGGGCUAAUACUCCGCAUGAUGACGGUAUCUCCUUAGCAAGCACCGGCUAACUCUGUGCCAGCAGCCGCGGUAAGACAGAGGGUGCAAACGUUGUUCGGAAUUACUGGGCGUAAAGCGAGUGUAGGCGGUUCGAUAAGUCGGAUGUGAAAGCCCCGGGCUCAACCCGGGAAGUGCACUCGAUACUGUCGAGCUAGAGUAUCGGAGAGGUUGGUGGAAUUCUCGGUGUAGAGGUGAAAUUCGUAGAUAUCGAGAGGAACACCGGUGGCGAAGGCGGCCAACUGGACGAAUACUGACGCUGAGACUCGAAAGCGUGGGGAGCAAACA
This 426-nucleotide ribosomal RNA is filed under the name uncultured Myxococcales bacterium. RNAcentral describes it as "bacterial SSU rRNA". It matches the Rfam family "Bacterial small subunit ribosomal RNA", at positions 355 to 774 of the family's 1533-position model. Lineage: Bacteria; Pseudomonadati; Myxococcota; Myxococcia; Myxococcales. The record is from RNAcentral.